RNAcentral lists this ribosomal RNA (405 nucleotides) under uncultured bacterium. RNAcentral describes it as "partial 16S ribosomal RNA". It matches the Rfam family "Bacterial small subunit ribosomal RNA", at positions 28 to 526 of the family's 1533-position model. The record is from RNAcentral.
GACGAACGCUGGCGGCGUGCUUAACACAUGCAAGUCGAGCGGAGCGGCGAACGGGUGAGUAACGCGUGAGUAACUGCACCCCUCUCUGGGAUAACAGUUGGAAAUGGCUGCUAAUACCGGAUAGUGGGGGAUGGCUGGCGUCGUAUCAGCUUGUUGGUGGGGUAGUGGACUACAAAGGGGACGACGGGUAGCCGGCCUGAGAGGGCGACCGGCCACAUUGGGCUGGGAUACGGCCCAAACUCCUACGGGGGGCAGCAGUGGGGAAUAUUGCACGAUGGGGGAAACCCGGAUGCAGGAACGCCGCGUGCUGGAUGACGGCUUUCGGGUUGUAAACCGCUUUCAGCCAUGACGCGGUAGUGGCAGAAGAAGCACCGGCUAACUACGUGCCAGCAGCCGCGGUAAUAC